AAUUUCUGACCUGCCAGACUCGAACUGUCUCCUCACGGGGAUAUGUUUCGGCUUGUCUGCGGGUCAUCCUUCUGGUGAGUGGCUCUGGUCUUAGUUGGUUGGAGUCACGAUCCAGAUCGUUUACUGUGAGCAAAUGGGAGUGUUCAACGCAGGUCUUACUUGCCUGAACCGUUUAGCAUGGAAUAAUAAAAUAAAACUUUGGAUUUAUUUUGUUGGCUAAUGAAACCCAAGUCAUGAUCAAUAGGGAUAGUUGGGGGUGCUCAUAUUCAGGGGGUAGCGGUGAAAUGCGAUGAUCCUCUGAAGAUGAACUAAUGCGAAAGCAUU
Molecule: ribosomal RNA, 324 nt
Filed under: uncultured Penardia
Lineage: Eukaryota
Description: SSU rRNA
Rfam family: Eukaryotic small subunit ribosomal RNA (bases 110-324)
Source: RNAcentral